UCGGGAAUCUUGGACAAUGGGGGAAACCCUGAUCCAGCCAUGCCGCGUGUGUGAUGAAGGCCCUAGGGUCGUAAAGCACUUUCGCCAGGGAAGAUAAUGACGGUACCUGGUAAAGAAACCCCGGCUAACUCCGUGCCAGCAGCCGCGGUAAUACGGAGGGGGUUAGCGUUGUUCGGAAUUACUGGGCGUAAAGCGCGCGUAGGCGGACUAGUCAGUCAGAGGUGAAAUCCCGGGGCUCAACCCCGGAACUGCCUUUGAUACUGCUAGUCUUGAGUUCGAGAGAGGUGAGUGGAAUUCCGAGUGUAGAGGUGAAAUUCGUAGAUAUUCGGAGGAACACCAGUGGCGAAGGCGGCUCACUGGCUCGAUACUGACGCUGAGGUGCGAAAGCGUGGGGAGCAAACAGGAUUAGAUACCCCCGUAGUCC
This 424-nucleotide ribosomal RNA is filed under the name uncultured prokaryote. RNAcentral's name for it is "bacterial SSU rRNA". It matches the Rfam family "Bacterial small subunit ribosomal RNA", at positions 355 to 796 of the family's 1533-position model. The record is from RNAcentral.